GCGGCCUUGGGGCUUUGUGAGAUAGAUGGGGUCGACUUGUUUGGAUUCCAGUGGAGUGGAGCUGACCCUACCCGAACAGGCCUCUGCCCUGCUUGGAUAGAGACCUCCGGAGAGGAGUAAAGAAUGACUGUUGAACAUCCUCAAGGCAUCUGCAAGAUCUCCUACAGACGCUGCCUGAGACCCAGCUCUGUGUCUCCUCAUCAUACAGCUCGUGGCGCUCCGACUGCAAGGCCAUUAGCAUGGCCUGGCAGGGGUUCAGCUGGAGGGCCAUGGAGGAGGACAGGCCAGCAGGAUGCCGCCUCUGCUCCAGGGCAUGCACCGUGAGUAAGAGAUUCUAAUUAUAUAUACAUGUAUAAACAUAUAGUCACAUACACAGAGCAUGAUACUGUAUGUUUUGCAAUUUGUAGAUAAUUGUCAGACCUCAUCAAAGGACUAUUAAGAAUAAUAAAUGUGUUGAAAGGCUUAAAUGGCAGGGGUGGGUGGAGUUCAGUGACUGUGCAAGGGUAUACUGGCAAAUCACUAGCCUCCAACAAAUGUAAUAUGCUGAACACAACUG
Mandrillus leucophaeus (drill) is the source of this 556-nucleotide long non-coding RNA. RefSeq lists it as uncharacterized. Lineage: Eukaryota; Metazoa; Chordata; Mammalia; Primates; Cercopithecidae. The transcript has 3 exons. The record is from RefSeq and is a predicted model, not a curated record.